This 468-nucleotide ribosomal RNA is filed under the name uncultured bacterium. RNAcentral describes it as "partial 16S ribosomal RNA". It matches the Rfam family "Bacterial small subunit ribosomal RNA", at positions 28 to 507 of the family's 1533-position model. The record is from RNAcentral.
GACGAACGCUGGCGGCGUGCUUAACACAUGCAAGUCGAACGGACAGGCUCUGCUUUUGCUGGGUGCUCGAGUGGCUAACGGUUGCGUAACACUUGAGUACCCUUCCCUUGCCUUUGUGAUAACUUCAGGAAACUGGGGCUAAUACCGGCUAGUACCUCCUGCUGCUUGUUGUUGCUUGGAAAUUUUUGGCGGUUUGGGAUGGACGCGCGGCUUAUUAGCUUGUUGGUGGGGUAGUGGCUUACCAAGGUUUCGACGGUUAGCCGGCCUGAGAGGGUGACCGGCCACAGUGGGACAGGGAUACGGCCAAGACGGAUACGGGAGGAAGCAGUGAGAAAUAGUGCAAGAUGGGCGGAAUCCGGAUGCAGCAUCUCCGCGUGCUGGAUGACUGCCGUAGGGGUGUAAACCGCGUUCGCCUGUGAAGAAGAGUGAGUGACGGUAAUGGGUAAAGAAGCACCGGCUAACUACGUG